Molecule: ribosomal RNA, 1004 nt
Filed under: Bacillus mojavensis
Lineage: Bacteria; Bacillati; Bacillota; Bacilli; Caryophanales; Bacillaceae
Description: bacterial SSU rRNA
Rfam family: Bacterial small subunit ribosomal RNA
Source: RNAcentral
UGCCUUAAUACAUGCAAGUCGAGCGGACGGAUGGGAGCUUGCUCCCUGAUGUUAGCGGCGGACGGGUGAGUAACACGUGGGUAACCUGCCUGUAAGACUGGGAUAACUCCGGGAAACCGGGGCUAAUACCGGAUGCUUGAUUGAACCGCAUGGUUCAAUUAUAAAAGGUGGCUUUUAGCUUCCAUUUACAGAUGGACCCGCGGCGCAUUAGCUAGUUGGUGAGGUAACGGCUCACCAAGGCAACGAUGCGUAGCCGACCUGAAAGGGUGAUCGGCCACACUGGGACUGAAACACGGCCCAAACUCCUACGGGAGGCAGCAGUAGGGAAUCUUCCGCAAUGGACGAAAGUCUGACGGAGCAACCCCCCGUGAGUGAUGAAGGUUUUCGGAUCGUAAAACUCUGUUGUUAGGGAAAAACAAGUACCGUUCGAAUAGGGCGGUACCUUGACGGUACCUAACCAAAAAGCCACGGCUAACUACGUGCCAGCAGCCGCGGUAAUACGUAGGUGGCAAGCGUUGUCCGGAAUUAUUGGGCGUAAAGCGCGCGCAGGCGGUUUCUUAAGUCUGAUGUGAAAGCCCCCGGCUCAACCGGGGAGGGUCAUUGGAAACUGGGGAAACUUGAGUGCAGAAGAGGAGAGUGGAAUUUCCACGUGUAGCGGUGAAAUGCGUAGAGAUGUGGAGGAACACCAGUGGCGAAGGCGACUCUCUGGUCUGUAACUGACGCUGAGGCGCGAAAGCGUGGGGAGCGAACAGGAUUAGAUACCCUGGUAGUCCACGCCGUAAACGAUGAGUGCUAAGUGUUAGAGGGUUUCCGCCCUUUAGUGCUGCAGCAAACGCAUUAAGCACUCCGCCUGGGGAGUACGGUCGCAAGACUGAAACUCAAAGGAAUUGACGGGGGCCCGCACAAGCGGUGGAGCAUGUGGUUUAAUUCGAAGCAACGCGAAGAACCUUACCAGGUCUUGACAUCCUCUGACAACCCUAGAGAUAGGGCUUCCCCUUCGGGGC